UACGAAGGGUGCAAGCGUUAAUCGGAAUUACUGGGCGUAAAGCGUGCGCAGGCGGUGAUGUAAGACGGUUGUGAAAUCCCCGGGCUCAACCUGGGAACUGCAUCUGUGACUGCAUCGCUGGAGUGCGGCAGAGGGGGAUGGAAUUCCGCGUGUAGCAGUGAAAUGCGUAGAUAUGCGGAGGAACACCGAUGGCGAAGGCAAUCCCCUGGGCCUGCACCGACGCUCAUGCACGAAAGCGUGGGGAGCAAACAGG
RNAcentral lists this ribosomal RNA (253 nucleotides) under uncultured bacterium. RNAcentral describes it as "partial 16S ribosomal RNA". It matches the Rfam family "Bacterial small subunit ribosomal RNA", at positions 524 to 776 of the family's 1533-position model. The record is from RNAcentral.